UACGUAGGGUGCAAGCGUUGUCCGGAAUUAUUGGGCGUGAAGAGCUCGUAGGCGGCUUGUCGCGUCGGCUGUGAAAACCUGGGGCUCAACCCCGGGCCUGCAGCCGAUACGGGCAAGCUAGAAUUCGGUAGGGGAGACUGGAAUUCCUGGUGUAGCGGUGAAAUGCGCAGAUAUCAGGAGGAACACCGGUGGCGAAGGCGGGUCUCUGGGCCGAUAUUGACGCUGAGGAGCGAAAGCGUGGGGAGCGAACAGG
RNAcentral lists this ribosomal RNA (253 nucleotides) under uncultured bacterium. Its description in RNAcentral is "partial 16S ribosomal RNA". It matches the Rfam family "Bacterial small subunit ribosomal RNA", at positions 524 to 776 of the family's 1533-position model. The record is from RNAcentral.